Molecule: ribosomal RNA, 370 nt
Filed under: uncultured organism
Description: partial 16S ribosomal RNA
Rfam family: Bacterial small subunit ribosomal RNA
Source: RNAcentral
GUAGGGCGCGAGCGUUGUCCGGAUUUAUUGGGCGUAAAGGGCUCGUAGGCGGCUUGUCACGUCGAUAGUGAAAUCCUGCGGGCUUAACUGUGGGUCUGCUGUCGAUACGGGCUGGCUAGAGGUAGGUAGGGGAGAGUGGAAUGUCCGGUGUAGCGGUGGAAUGCGCAGAUAUCGGACGGAACACCGGUGGCGAAGGCGGCUCUCUGGACCUUACCUGACGCUGAGGAGCGAAAGCAUGGGGAGCGAACAGGAUUAGAUACCCUGGUAGUCCAUGCUGUAAACGUUGGGCGCUAGGUGUGGGAGGCUUUUGUUUUCCGUGCCGUAGCUAACGCAUUAAGCGCCCCGCCUGGGGAGUACGGCCGCAAGGCUA